AAGCAAUGUUUUGGCUGGCCUGCAAGU
RNAcentral lists this non-coding RNA (27 nucleotides) under Cricetulus griseus (Chinese hamster). Lineage: Eukaryota; Metazoa; Chordata; Mammalia; Rodentia; Cricetidae. The record is from RNAcentral.